AUUCAUGGUCUCGUUUUCUUCCAUAAUUGUUGUGCAUGUACAUUCUAAACACUUAGACACAUCCUACUUACUCUAUAAUGUUAUUUGUAUGUAUAUGUUUUUACACAUUCUUUUUUCUUCCAAAAACUGGUCAUUCUGUACCAGGGUCUGUGUAUUCUGGCAUAAUUUUCCUGUAUUUUUUGCUCCCCUGGAAUGUGUGAAGCCUUUUCCGGGUACUUGGGUUUUGUAAUUGAGUGGCUUAGUACCUUUCUACAAAAUAAGUAUUUUUCUAGCCAUAGUACUUAUUCUGUCUGAAUAUGGAGUAUGCUUGGGUUAGAAUAGUUACUCAGUAACUCACACAGUAUGCUCUGGGCUCUAACUGAAGAUUUGACUUUCAAGUUACUCAAGUAACAGAACUAGGGAGGGAUUUGAUCAAAAUGUGUAGGAUUCUCUCAGCACUUACAGUAGCACCGUGAAUCAUGUAACACCAGGUCUCUUGAAGAUCAACAACACAGUUGAAUGAUUCAGUAAUGGGAAAUACUGUUACUUAGGGGAACACGUAAUGAUGCUUCUUACAUGGAUGUGAUUUUCCCAGUUUUGAAAUUAGCAUGCUUUGUGAAUGCUUAUACUAGAGAAUUUCAGAAAUUGUCUGAGCCACAACUGAGAAUAUACUAAUAAGAUUUUAUGUUUUUCCUAGCAUGUUCCACCUUCCCUCUUCACGGAACCUAAUGAAAUAUCACAAUAUUUACCAAUUAAG
Molecule: long non-coding RNA, 736 nt
Filed under: Rattus norvegicus (Norway rat)
Lineage: Eukaryota; Metazoa; Chordata; Mammalia; Rodentia; Muridae
Description: long non-coding RNA NONRATT008905
Source: RNAcentral